RNAcentral lists this long non-coding RNA (326 nucleotides) under Olea europaea (common olive). RNAcentral's name for it is "long non-coding RNA (OEUR_LNC005519)". The record is from RNAcentral. Lineage: Eukaryota; Viridiplantae; Streptophyta; Magnoliopsida; Lamiales; Oleaceae.
AAAAGAAAAAAAAAGACAUAAAUCAAGCAGAGCUGCUCAUAGCGCCGCCAUCUUUUAGCAGUACCACAGUCGCUACUGCGCAAACCAUGGGCUACAGAAAAUCGUCGGAGAAAAGCCACAAAUCGAAGAAGAUUUCGAAUCAUCUCACUUGCAUUUCCGCUCGCAGAGGCUCCAAUCUCUUCAUUAAGUAGCGUGUUGCUGCUCAAGUGGUAGCGACGGAGCAGUUCUUGCGGCAGGUGCUCCGAUGGUGGCGACGACGUCUGACAAAGACAUGAGAAGGAGAGGGAGAGUGAGAAAAAUUAGGGUUUGUAAUUGAACUUGGUGAA